GUCUAUGACCAUGCUGCAGUGAAUACACCCGAUCUCAUCUGAACUAAGAAGCUAAGCAGGGUUGGGCCUGGUUAGUAUUUGGAUGGGAGACCACCUAGGAAGACCGGGUGCUGUAGGCA
Ribosomal RNA from Pteropus vampyrus (large flying fox), 119 nucleotides. The record is from Ensembl. NCBI's taxonomy places the organism in Eukaryota, Metazoa, Chordata, Mammalia, Chiroptera, Pteropodidae.